RNAcentral lists this ribosomal RNA (468 nucleotides) under uncultured bacterium. Its description in RNAcentral is "partial 16S ribosomal RNA". It matches the Rfam family "Bacterial small subunit ribosomal RNA", at positions 28 to 507 of the family's 1533-position model. The record is from RNAcentral.
GACGAACGCUGGCGGCGUGCUUAACACAUGCAAGUCGAACGGAAAGGCCCUGCUUUUGUGGGGUGCUCGAGUGGCGAACGGGUGAGUAACACGUGAGUAACCUGCCCUUGACUUUGGGAUAACUUCAGGAAACUGGGGCUAAUACCGGAUAGGAGCUCCUGCUGCAUGGUGGGGGUUGGAAAGUUUCGGCGGUUGGGGAUGGACUCGCGGCUUAUCAGCUUGUUGGUGGGGUAGUGGCUUACCAAGGCUUUGACGGGUAGCCGGCCUGAGAGGGUGACCGGCCACAUUGGGACUGAGAUACGGCCCAGACUCCUACGGGAGGCAGCAGUGGGGAAUAUUGCACACUGGGCGGAAGCCUGAUGCAGCAACGCCGCGUGCGAGAUGACGGCCUUCGGGUUGUAAACCGCUUUCGCCUGAGACGAAGCGUGAGUGACGGUAAUGGGUAAAGAAGCACCGGCUAACUACGUG